AUUGAACGCUGGCGGCAGGCCUAACACAUGCAAGUCGAGCGGAUGAAGGGAGCUUGCUCCUGGAUUCAGCGGCGGACGGGUGAGUAAUGCCUAGGAAUCUGCCUGGUAGUGGGGGAUAACGUCCGGAAACGGGCGCUAAUACCGCAUACGUCCUGAGGGAGAAAGUGGGGGAUCUUCGGACCUCACGCUCUCAGAUGAGCCUAGGUCGGAUUAGCUAGUUGGUGGGGUAAAGGCCUACCAAGGCGACGAUCCGUAACUGGUCUGAGAGGAUGAUCAGUCACACUGGAACUGAGACACGGUCCAGACUACUACGGGAGGCAGCAGUGGGGAAUAUUGGACAAUGGGCGAAAGCCUGAUCCAGCCAUGCCGCGUGUGUGAAGAAGGUCUUCGGAUUGUAAAGCACUUUAAGUUGGGAGGAAGGGCAGUAAGUUAAUACCUUGCUGUUUUGACGUUACCAACAGAAUAAGCACCGGCUAACUUCGUG
RNAcentral lists this ribosomal RNA (484 nucleotides) under uncultured bacterium. RNAcentral describes it as "partial 16S ribosomal RNA". It matches the Rfam family "Bacterial small subunit ribosomal RNA", at positions 30 to 507 of the family's 1533-position model. The record is from RNAcentral.